This 3877-nucleotide long non-coding RNA is filed under the name Gallus gallus (chicken). The record is from RNAcentral. Lineage: Eukaryota; Metazoa; Chordata; Aves; Galliformes; Phasianidae.
CGGAGGGCGGCGCGCGGGCGGCGGCCGUUGGAGGCGGCGGGAAAGGGGCGCCCGCGCGCCCCGGGCGGCUGUUUGUUAGCGCCCGUUUAGCGCCGGAGCUGCGGGGAGGGCCGCUCUGGCGUUUGUGUGCGGAGCGGACUACGCGGGGCCGCCGAGCGAUGCUGGAGAAAACGUGCCCUUCCCUGGCUCAGCGCCCGGUGCCAACAGAACACCUUGCAGGAUCCUCAGCAGCGCAGACAACACAACCUGGAUGCUCAAGAGCAGAGGAUCUAUCAACUGCAGACCAAGCAGAGGCAGAGGCAGGCAGAACCGGAGCAAUAAUGCAGCCAGAUCCAGCAGCUCAGCCAGGAGCUGGAGGCCACCGUCAGCUGCAGGAGGAGGCUCGGACACAGUGUGGCUGAGGAAAAUCACAACACCAGCUGCAUGUAAGAAACUCCUGGAAAGAAGAACAAAGCCAUCUGUUCUCCAUGUCCACGAAGGCAUGCACAAGAACUAAUGGGUGUACCCUACAUCAAGAAAGAUUCAGGUUAGGAACAGCGUCUAAUGGAGAGGAGAACAAAGCAGGUGAACAGACUGCAAGGGGCCUGAGUGUUCUGCGUCACAGGAGAUCUUCAAGGACAGAUAAACAGAAGACAAGGCACCUGUAGGUUCCCCCGUCAUAGAACUGGAAGACAGGCCAUCAGCCUCUUGAGAUUCAUGCCAGCCUUGCUCACUUCCUAAACCCAGCUUUGUUUGUACCCAGAAACUCAUUUGUCUUCUUCAAAGCCCCACCACAGGGUCUCCUUUAGCAUUCAUAUGUUACCAACAUAUCACUUGCCAGGGUGAUUCUUCUCUCUAGAAAAGUGACUGCACGCUUGCUUCCUACCAUGGUUCACCUAACCUCCAAUGAGACUCAGUACCUGCUUUGUGUUGUAAAUGGUGUCCCAUCUUGAAAUGCACUGCCUGUGUUCCUGCACUGGAUAGUAGUGUUGAUCUGUGGGAGUAUUCUUUCCUCUUUCUUGGAACCUCAUUCUUAUGCUUCUGCAGGCUUGUUCACAGGAGACUGGCUGAAGAGCACACUCAUUGCUGUUUUCCCAGAAGAUAGAAAAAUGUGUCAGGAAAUCACUGCAUGCAAAGGAGUUGGAGGAUUUGUGAGUGCAAGACCCCUGCAGAAAAUGGUGUGCAGCAGAGUAGGAAGUGCAUGGUGAAACAGAGGUACUGCUCAAGUUGACAAAAGGAGCAACACCAAAAGCUCACUUGACUGUACUGCCAGCUGAUCAGCUCUUCUGCAUGCGGCCAGGGCAAAUCGGCUUGGGCUCUCAGACUUGUAUGCCUUGUGUUGGCAGCUGGUUAAACUGUAAGAAAGAGCUGUACUAAUGGAAGGGGUUGCUUUACAUCUGGACAUCUGGAUGCUUUAAGACCUAUGGUGUGCACAUCCAUUCAUACACUGGGAGGUUUUCCAGAACUCUGACACAAUGGAGCAGUUGUGGAAGACAGCAGGUAGGAGAUGGAACAAAAGCACAGGUCAGGCUGGGGACAGAAAUUAUGCUUUUUAUUCAGACAUUGCAGGGCAUGCACAGGACAUCAGGCAUGUUGCUAAAACAUGGCUGCAGCACCAAAUGCUGCCUGCUGCCCUAACACACAGGGGCUGUGAAUAACUCAUGGCUUGUUGUGGUCCUGGAGUACAAAAACACCACUACUUUUCUUUAAUUACAAAUAGUUAAGGUAUAUCCUUCCAUUCUACCAGGCAGAUGUCCUGAAGCACCAUGGCAGCAUCAGAGCAGGUGCUAUGUGAGAAGGCAUGUUGUGAAUGAAGCUACAAGAACGUGCACUUACAUUUACACCGGGUUUAUUUACAAGCACACCUCACCUGGGACAGUGACAUCUGAAGGGCUAGCCUGCUCCAUCCCCAUGGUCCCAGCAGGCAGCAUGUCUCUACACCAGAGCAGAAGACAGCAUGGUGCUGUGUUCAGACUGUGCUAAUCCUGCCAUGUGUUUUGAAGAUGAUGUGUUUCCUGUUGCCUUUCACCUUGUGGCUGCACAGAUCCCUUCUGCUGGAUGGCAAUCUUAAAGGAUGCUGAUGGGAAAUCCCAGGAAGCUGCUCUCUGAUCUAAGUCACGCUGCUGGCAGAGGGAAGUCUCCAACACAUGCAGGCAUGGCACAGGGUGUUCCCCGCCGCUUGGCACAUACUGCAGUCGAUAGCCCUCAGCAGGAUCUUGCAUUCAAUAUUAUGCUGUCUAAGAGGCUUAAAAUUGACUGCAAAGCUUCGGUACAACUACAAAAAAAUCUUGUUUUCAGUUUCGCCUCUGGUGGAUUGCUCCAGAAUGAGACAGAGCAACUUGGUAAUUUAUUCUUGGAAUAGGGAUAGUACAUCUGCACUGGAGUAUUUGGAAUUGCAUUAUGUAAUAUGAAAAGCAGUCAUUCAUUUGAACUCCCCUUGUGGGAACAGCAGCUGCCCAGACAAAUUCCAUGUGAAGAUGGGAAAUGUGACAGAAAUCAGACAGAGCCUGCUUCUGUGUGCUGCAGAAACAACUGAGCAGUUUUGCGCCCACUAGGAAUGCCUUGCAUUCUAUCUUGCUCUCCACAGCUUGUUGUAGGUUCUUAUACCAGCUCCUGACAGACCCCCAUUUGCUGCUGCAAAAAACCAUAUAGUUGCUAGUGUCAGACAAAUGCUGCUGUCAGAGCAGAACUUGACAUAACAGCCCAUUUAAGCCACCAGCCCAGGAGCAGGAAUGGCUGUGGAGAGCCACUGCAGCCCUCCUCACCCUUGCUUAAGCAUCCUGCCUUGCUCUGAGCUGCUCCAGCGGGCAGAACUCAGGAGUGUGCUGGCUCUGAUGGUCCUCGCUCAGUGCAGUGUGUGCCACACAACCCCAUUGGCUGUGACAAAACAUGGUGCCUCUGGGUCCCUGCCUUCCCUCCAGGAAGCGCCUGCAGUCCAGCACAGUGUCUCCUGCUUUAUGUUCCCCAGACAAGCUGUUAUCACCGCAGACAGCUCUGCCACUGCUGAGAGUAUCAUUUGAAAGAGGACUAUCAAUGCAGGUGACCUGAAUCCUGAUGUGGCAGUGCAGACGUGGGGUCAGCAGUACACCACUGCAACUCUUUAAUGCUGACUUUUUGGAUACAGGGCAGGAUGUGUCAGGAUCAGUCGUUGCACAUGAUCCUGGAGCACUGAAGAAAAGCAAGAACAACUGUUCGCAAUUAGCUCCAAGUAUGUAUUGCCCACCAUCUUAUCUCUGAUAGUGGUCAAGAGCUAUUAUUGUGGGCAGUGCGAGAAGGGGGCAUAGCUACUGCAGUAGCAGUACCACCCAGAAUACUUGAUGAUAUGAAGCUCAGAGGCCUCGGAAACAAAAAUAGGGUCUUCUAUUUAACCAGUGUGGGUGGAUUUCUUUUUCUCCCACAAUGAUAUUUAACUUCUUUUUGAAUGCACAUAAACCUCAAUGACCCACUGUAUCCUCUGUUAAGCAGUUUGACACUGCAUAGUGCAUAUUAAAAAAAAAACAACUGCUUUUUGUUUUGUAGUCACUACCUCCUAAUUUAUGGGGCACUGAUGGUUCUUAUAUCAAAGGGACAAUGAGAAACCACACUGAAGUCAAACUCUGUCUGCCAAACUUGAUUUCAUAAUCCUGUCACACUUUUCUUCAGCCAUCUCUUCUCUGGGCUAAAGAGACUUUCUACUUUUCCUCAUAUGGAAGAUAUUCUUUGUAUUUGAUUUGCCUUGUUGCUCUUCUCUGAAACCCUCCCAACUCUAUUUUUCUUGAGAGAAGCCAACCAGAGUUCCAUAUGGUAAUCACAAUGCAGUCUCCACUAUGGCUCUGUUCAGUGGCAUAUCUCUGAUCUGUUCUCUCUUAUUUUCCUAAUAAUUCUUAACAGUCAGUUUGCCUUUUGGACUGCUCCUGGG